AUACCUUGUAAUGGGCACUUCCUGAGUAGCUCCUUAAAACGUUCUCAUGCCGCAUAAACUGACUCUCCAUCAUUUGAUGAAAAGAGGUAAUGUCAUUUCUGAACUU
Non-coding RNA from Morus notabilis, 106 nucleotides. NCBI's taxonomy places the organism in Eukaryota, Viridiplantae, Streptophyta, Magnoliopsida, Rosales, Moraceae. The record is from Rfam.